Molecule: ribosomal RNA, 253 nt
Filed under: uncultured bacterium
Lineage: Bacteria
Description: partial 16S ribosomal RNA
Rfam family: Bacterial small subunit ribosomal RNA
Source: RNAcentral
UACGUAGGGUGCGAGCGUUGUCCGGAAUUAUUGGGCGUAAAGAGCUCGUAGGCGGUCUGUCGCGUCUGCUGUGAAAUCCCGAGGCUCAACCUCGGGCUUGCAGUGGGUACGGGCAGGCUAGAGUGCGGUAGGGGAGAAUGGAACUCCUGGUGUAGCGGUGGAAUGCGCAGAUAUCAGGAAGAACACCGAUGGCGAAGGCAGUUCUCUGGGCCGUAACUGACGCUGAGGAGCGAAAGCGUGGGGAGCGAACGGG